RNAcentral lists this ribosomal RNA (442 nucleotides) under uncultured prokaryote. Its description in RNAcentral is "bacterial SSU rRNA". It matches the Rfam family "Bacterial small subunit ribosomal RNA", at positions 355 to 796 of the family's 1533-position model. The record is from RNAcentral.
UCGAGAAUCUUCGGCAAUGGGCGAAAGCCUGACCGAGCGAUGCCGCGUGCGGGAUGAAGGCCCUCGGGUUGUAAACCGCUGUCAGUUGGGAGGAAGGCUCUGUGAAGAGCAGAGUUUGACCUAUCUUCAGAGGAAGUACGGGCUAAGUUCGUGCCAGCAGCCGCGGUAACACGAACCGUACGAACGUUAUUCGGAAUUAUUGGGCUUAAAGGGUGCGUAGGCGGCGCUGUAAGUCGGGUGUGAAAGCCCACGGCUCAACCGUGGAAUUGCGCCCGAUACUGCAGUGCUUGAGGGAGACAGGGGUGAGUGGAACUGAUGGUGGAGCGGUGAAAUGCGUUGAUAUCAUCAGGAACACCGGUGGCGAAAGCGGCUCACUGGGUCUCUUCUGACGCUGAGGCACGAAAGCUAGGGUAGCGAACGGGAUUAGAUACCCCCGUAGUCC